This is a non-coding RNA of Herbaspirillum sp. CF444, 75 nucleotides long. Lineage: Bacteria; Pseudomonadati; Pseudomonadota; Betaproteobacteria; Burkholderiales; Oxalobacteraceae. The record is from Rfam.
AUGUACUAAAGUACACUCCGGUUUCUCCGCUCCGGGCGCCACCAGCUGAUGGCCUCUCGCUACAGACUUUGAACA